GAUCAUUGGCUCAGGAUGAACGCUAGCGACAGGCUUAACACAUGCAAGUCGAGGGGCAGCACAGGGUAGCAAUACUUGGGUGGCGACCGGCGCACGGGUGAGUAACGCGUAUGCAACUUACCUAUCAGAGGGGGAUAGCCCGGCGAAAGUCGGAUUAAUACCCCAUGAAACAGGGGUCCCGCAUGGGAAUAUUUGUUAAAGAUUCAUCGCUGAUAGAUAGGCAUGCGUUCCAUUAGG
This 237-nucleotide ribosomal RNA is filed under the name uncultured bacterium. Its description in RNAcentral is "partial 16S ribosomal RNA". It matches the Rfam family "Bacterial small subunit ribosomal RNA", at positions 15 to 245 of the family's 1533-position model. The record is from RNAcentral.